UACGGAGGAUGCGAGCGUUAUCCGGAUUUAUUGGGUUUAAAGGGAGCGCAGACGGGUCGUUAAGUCAGCUGUGAAAGUUUGGGGCUCAACCUUAAAAUUGCAGUUGAUACUGGCGUCCUUGAGUGCGGUUGAGGUGUGCGGAAUUCGUGGUGUAGCGGUGAAAUGCUUAGAUAUCACGAAGAACUCCGAUUGCGAAGGCAGCACACUAAGCCGUAACUGACGUUCAUGCUCGAAAGUGUGGGUAUCAAACAGGAUUAGAAACCCGUGUAGGCUGACUGACU
RNAcentral lists this ribosomal RNA (281 nucleotides) under Phocaeicola plebeius DSM 17135. RNAcentral's name for it is "partial 16S ribosomal RNA". It matches the Rfam family "Bacterial small subunit ribosomal RNA", at positions 524 to 805 of the family's 1533-position model. The record is from RNAcentral. Lineage: Bacteria; Pseudomonadati; Bacteroidota; Bacteroidia; Bacteroidales; Bacteroidaceae.